UGGAUACAUCUCCAUGUGUGGAGGUACUGGCUCCACCACUAUCACUAGCAGGUCUACUGGACUGAGUGGAUACAUCUCCACCACUAUCAUUAACAGGUCUACUGGACUGAGUGGAUACAUCUCCAUGUGUGGAGGUACUGGCUCCACCACUAUCACUAGCAGGUCUACUGGACUGAGUGGAUACAUCUCCACCACUAUCACUAGCAGGUCUACUGGACUGAGUGGAUACAUCUCCACCACUAUCACUAGCAGGUCUACUGGACUGAGUGGAUACAUCUCCAUGUGUGGAGGUACUGGCUCCACCACUAUCACUAGCAGGUCUACUGGACUGACUGGACACAUCUCCACCACUAUCAUUAACAGGUCUACUGGACUGAGUGGAUACAUCUCCAUGUGUGGAGGUACUGGCUCCACCACUAUCACUAGCAGGUCUACUGGACUGAGUGGAUACAUCUCCACCACUAUCACUAGCAGGUCUACUGGACUGAGUGGAUACAUCCCCACCACUAUCACUAGCAGGUCUACUGGACUGAGUGGUUACAUCCCCACCACUAUCACUAGCAGGUCUACUGGACUGAGUGGAUACAUCUCCACCACUAUCACUAGCAGGUCUACUGGACUGAGUGGAUACAUCUCCACCACUAUCACUAGCAGGUCUACUGGACUGAGUGGAUACAUCUCCACCACUAUCACUAGCAGGCCUACUGGACUAAGUGGAUACAUCUCCAUGUGUGGAGGUACUGGCUCCACCACUAUCACUAGCAGGUCUACUGGACUGAGUGGAUACAUCUCCACCACUAUCACUAGCAGGCCUACUGGACUGAGUGGAUACAUCUCCACGUGUGGAGGUGCUGGCUCCACCACUAUCACUAGCAUGUCUACUUGACUGAGUGGAUACAUCUCCACGUGUGGAGGUGCUGGCUCCACCACUAUCACUAGCAGGCCUACUGGACUGAGUGGGUACUGGCUCCACCACUAUCACUAGCAGGUCUACUGGACUGAGUGGAUACAUCUCCACCACUAUCACUAGCAGGUCUACUGGACUGAGUGGAUACAUCUCCACGUGUGGAGGUGCUGGCUCCACCACUAUCACUAGCAGGUCUACUGGACUGAGUGGAUACAUCUCCACGUGUGGAGGUGCUGACUCCACCACUAUCACUAGCAGGCCCGCUGACCUGAUCCUAGAUCAUAAUGAAUCAGAUUACAUGGAUAGGAGGACCUGAUCCUAGAUCAUAAUGAAUCAGGUUACAUGGAGAGGGGGACCUGAUCCUAGAUCAUAAUGAAUCAGAUUACAUGGAGAGGGUUGGACCUGAUCCUAGAUCAUAAUGAAUCAGAUUACAUGGAGAGGAGGGACCUGAUCCUAUAUCAUAAUGAAUCAGAUUACAUGGAGAGGGGGGGACCUGAUCCUAGAUCAUAAUGAAUCAGAUUACAUGGAGAGGGGGGGCCUGAUCCUAGAUCAUAAUGAAUCAGAUUAUAUGGAGAGGAGGACCUGAUCCUAUAUCAUAAUGAAUCAGAUUACAUGGAGAGGAGGACCUGAUCCUAGAUUAUAAUGAAUCAGAUUACAUGGAGAGGGGGACCUGAUCCUAGAUCAUAAUGAAUCAGAUUACAUGGAGAGGAGGGGACCUGAUCCUAGAUCAUAAUGAAUCAGAUUACAUGGAGAGAGGAGGACCUGAUCCUAGAUCAUAAUGAAUCAGAUUACAUGGAGAGGAGGGACCUGAUCCUAGAUCACAAUGAAUCAGAUUACAUGGAGAGGGGGGGACCUGAUCCUAGAUCAU
This 1775-nucleotide long non-coding RNA is filed under the name Salmo salar (Atlantic salmon). Its description in RNAcentral is "lncRNA (ENSSSAG00000109046.1)". The record is from RNAcentral. Lineage: Eukaryota; Metazoa; Chordata; Actinopteri; Salmoniformes; Salmonidae.